CGCGGAGUGGAGCAGGGGUAGCUCGUCGGGCUCAUAACCCGAAGGUCGAGGGUUCGAAUCCUUCCUCCGCAACCA
This 75-nucleotide transfer RNA is filed under the name Bacillota bacterium. RNAcentral describes it as "tRNA-Met". It matches the Rfam family "tRNA". From Rfam's summary of the family: Transfer RNA (tRNA) molecules are approximately 80 nucleotides in length. Their secondary structure includes four short double-helical elements and three loops (D, anti-codon, and T loops). RNAcentral also lists the same sequence under 1 other name. Lineage: Bacteria; Bacillati; Bacillota. The record is from RNAcentral.